UAAAGGCACUGUUGGAUUCGGUUAGUUCAAAGGUGGUCGAAUGAAAUUCUGAUCAUUUGAUCACAAUAUGUUAUUAACACUUCACAAGUAAAAACCAAUUAAAUCCACCCACCUAUCAAGGAAAGUAAAUUCGUUCAUAUCGCAAGUGAAUUCGACGGAGGCGUCCCGUAUCUCAGCUGACCCGGCUCGGUAGAGAAUUCUCUGAACAUUGUUCGUGAAAAUGAUUCAAAGUAACAGCACUCGUUACUGGUUGCCAGGAAUUUCACCGAGACCGUCCGGAUCCAUGUAUGGCGCGGGCGAGGAUCGACGGUUGGUAGAGGAACGCAUGUCAUAAUCGAAUCGAGCUACAAACGAUGACGGCAGCGGCGGUGACGACGAUGGCGGCAGUGGUUUAGCUAGUAGUAAGAGCGUUUGGCAUGUACGGCGUUUGUGGUCGGUCAGGCUAAAAAUAGUGUUCCUUGGUGUGUGCGGUGUACAAGCGAUUUUUUUUCUUCUGUCGUACGAUCCGGACUAUUUCUGCUUCGCUUGUUCUUCUGUCAUUGAGUGUGAAUGAUUGCGGCAAUGAUGCUGACAGCACUGGCGGAGAUGAUGAUUGGCAUCGUAGUCCGCAAAUAUCGUCGACGAAAAGUAGAAGGAAUCAGCAGUCAGCCUAUAUGCAUGCACCGCUCCGCUGCCAAGGUGAAUUGUUCGGAUGAUGAAAUGGCCUUCGUCCCUAAAACAAAUGAUGAACUUUUACGCUAUUGAAAAUUACAUAAACUCCGCUUCAACGAGGGAUGAAAAAUCUACAGCAGAAGCAGUUUAUGAAAGAUACUCACAAUCAAUCACCGUACCAGUCUACGUGACGUUACGGUACUACUCUGGAUGGUCAAUCGCAGUGUUUCAAUCUAGUUAAUCCUCAAUCAAAGGGUAUUUAUCCUAUUUACUACUACGGUCCGAUCCGGUUCUUCGGUUAAAGUGUGCUACGAACCUGGUGUCGAGACCAACUAGGAUCACCGAAAUUUUCACCUCUUCACUCCUAACACCUAUUAUUAUUCCGAAAGUUAAUAAUUAAUAGUUGAUUAAAUCACGUUAGCUUAAUA
Long non-coding RNA from Wyeomyia smithii (pitcher-plant mosquito), 1079 nucleotides. RefSeq lists it as uncharacterized. The transcript has 4 exons. The record is from RefSeq and is a predicted model, not a curated record. Lineage: Eukaryota; Metazoa; Arthropoda; Insecta; Diptera; Culicidae.